UAACCUGCCCUGAUGACCGGGACAACCCGAGGAAACUCGGGCUAAUACCGGAUGUGCUCCCGCUACAUCAGUAGUGUGAGUAAAGGUAGCUUCGGCCUCCGCAUCGGGAUGGGCCCGCGGCGCAUUAGCUUGUUGGUGGGGUAAUGGCCUACCAAGGCAACGAUGCGUAGCUGGUCUGAGAGGACGAUCAGCCACACUGGGACUGAGACACGGCCCAG
This 218-nucleotide ribosomal RNA is filed under the name uncultured bacterium. Its description in RNAcentral is "partial 16S ribosomal RNA". It matches the Rfam family "Bacterial small subunit ribosomal RNA", at positions 122 to 334 of the family's 1533-position model. The record is from RNAcentral.